RNAcentral lists this ribosomal RNA (468 nucleotides) under uncultured bacterium. RNAcentral's name for it is "partial 16S ribosomal RNA". It matches the Rfam family "Bacterial small subunit ribosomal RNA", at positions 28 to 507 of the family's 1533-position model. The record is from RNAcentral.
GACGAACGCUGGCGGCGUGCUUAACACAUGCAAGUCGAACGGACAGGCCCUGCUUUUGUGGGGUGCACGUGUGGCGAACGGGUGAGUAACACGUGAGUAAACUGCCCUUGACUUUCGGAUAAAUUUAGGGAACUGGGGCUAAUACAGGAUAGGAGCUACUGCUGCACGGUGGGGGUUGGAAAGUUUCGGCGGUUGGGGAUGGACUAGCGGCUUAUCCGCUUGUUGGUGGGGUAGUGGCUUACAAAGGCUUUGACGGGUAGCCGACCUGAGAGGGUGACCGGCCACAUUGGGACUGAGAUACGGCGCAGACGCCUACGGUAGGCAGCAGUGGGGAAUAUUGCACAAUGGGCGGAAGCCUGAUGCAGCAACGCCGCGUGCGGGAUGACGGCCUUCGAGUUGUAAACCGCUUUCGCCUGUGACGAAGCGGGAGUGACGGUAAUGAGUAAAGAAGCACCGGCUAACUACGUG